RNAcentral lists this small RNA (99 nucleotides) under Arabidopsis thaliana (thale cress). Its description in RNAcentral is "ATSL141750". The record is from RNAcentral. Lineage: Eukaryota; Viridiplantae; Streptophyta; Magnoliopsida; Brassicales; Brassicaceae.
AGAAGAUAACUUUGGUUUUGUUAAUCUUCUCAAAGAGGAAAGGCCACAAGGCGAGCCACGAGCCAAAGAAGAAGGAAACACAUUUACGGCUAUAGCGAA